Molecule: ribosomal RNA, 239 nt
Filed under: Sutterella sp.
Lineage: Bacteria; Pseudomonadati; Pseudomonadota; Betaproteobacteria; Burkholderiales; Sutterellaceae
Description: partial 23S ribosomal RNA
Rfam family: Bacterial large subunit ribosomal RNA
Source: RNAcentral
UGGACGGACCGCUGGUGUACCGGUUGUGAUGCCAAUCGCAUUGCCGGGUAGCUAUGUCCGGAAAGGAUAACCGCUGAAAGCAUCUAAGCGGGAAACCUGCCUGAAGAUAAGUCUUCCCUGGAAACUUGAUUUCCGCCAAGGGUCGUUCGAGACGAGGACGUUGAUAGGCUGCGUGUGCAGGUGUCGUAAGAUACAUAGCUAAGCAGUACUAAUUGCCCGCCAGGCUUGAUCCCAUGACC